Molecule: ribosomal RNA, 989 nt
Filed under: uncultured archaeon
Lineage: Archaea
Description: bacterial SSU rRNA
Rfam family: Archaeal small subunit ribosomal RNA
Source: RNAcentral
UCCGGUUGAUCCUGCCGGACCUGACUGCUAUCGGAUUGGUACUAAGCCAUGCGAGUCAUUGUAGCAAUACAAGGCGGACGGCUCAGUAACACGUAGUCAACCUAACUCGUGGACGUGGAUAACCUCGGGAAACUGAGAAUAAACCACGAUAGAUCAUAGUGCCUGGAAUGGCUUAUGGUCCAAACAGUUUACUGCCAUGGGAUGGGACUGCGGCCUAUCAGCUUGUUGGCGAGGUAAUGGCCCACCAAGGCGAUUACAGGUACGGGCUCUGAGAGGAGAAGCCCGGAGAUGGGUACUGAGACACGGACCCAGGCCCUAUGGGGCGCAGCAGGCGAGAAACCUUAGCAAUGUGCGAAAGCACGACUGGGUCAGUCCGAGUGAUUCCUGAUAAAGGAGUCUUUUGCUUGUCCUAAAAGCACAGGUGAAUAAGGGGUGGGCAAGUCUGGUGUCAGCCGCCGCGGUAAUACCAGCACCUCGAGUGGUCAGGACGUUUAUUGGGCCUAAAGCAUCCGUAGCCGGCUUUGCAAGUCUUCGGUUAAAUCCACCUGCUCAACAGAUGGGCCGCUGGAGAUACUACAGAGCUAGGGAGUGGGAGAGGCAGACGGUAUUCAGUGGGUAGGGGUAAAAUCCUCUGAUCCAUUGAGGACCACCAGUGGCGAAGGCGGUCUGCCAGAACACGUUCGACGGUGAGGGAUGAAAGCUGGGGGAGCAAACCGGAUUAGAUACCCGGGUAGUCCCAGCUGUAAACGAUGCAAACUCGGUGAUGCAUUGGCUUAUGGCCAAUGCAGUGCCGCAGGGAAGCCGUUAAGUUUGCCGCCUGGGAAGUACGGACGCAAGUCUGAAACUUAAAGGAAUUGGCGGGGGAGCACCACAAGGGGUGAAGCCUGCGGUUCAAUUGGAGUCAACGCCAGGAAUCUUACCCGGGGAGACAGCAGAAUGAAGGUCAAGCUGAAGACUUUACCAGACAAGCUGAGAGGAGGUGCAUGGCC